GAUGAAGAACGUAGUGAAAUGCGAUAAGUAAUGUGAAUUGCAGAAUUCAGUGAAUCAUCGAAUCUUUGAACGCAUCUUGCGCUCCUUGGUAUUCUGAGGAGCAUGCCUGUUUGAGUGUCAUUAAAUUCUCAACUACACUGACUUUGAAUUGGUGUGGCUUGGAUUUGGGGGGAAAAUUGUUGUGGGCUUUUUGUAUAGUCUGCUCCCCUGAAAUUGAUUAGCGGUACCUUUGUGGAACUGUCUACAGGUGUGAUAAUUAUCUACAUCUUAGACAUCUGCUGGAAUGCUGCUUUCUAAACCUUACUUGUAUUGACAAUCUUGACCUCAAAUCAGGUAGGGCUACCCGCUGAACUUAAGCAUAUCAAUAAGCGGAGGA
Molecule: unclassified non-coding RNA, 376 nt
Filed under: soil metagenome
Description: partial contains 5.8S ribosomal RNA, internal transcribed spacer 2, and large subunit ribosomal RNA
Rfam family: 5.8S ribosomal RNA (bases 1-120)
Source: RNAcentral